CCUUUGACCCAGUUAAUCACUGUCAGGUCAUCAAAUUAGCAAAAUGGCUUGGGAAAGGACAAAAAUACCCCUCCUUCUUCCUCAUCCUCUUCCUCUUCAUCAUCAACUAAUAAUCCACCCAUAACCUCCAUUUCUUCAACAAAUCCAAACAAAACCUUCAACCCACACCGCAAAUUCCACUUUCCUUUGUAAAAUUCUCAUUUUAAACACCCAAAUCAAUUCACUGUCAAUCCUUCCAAUAUCAACGUGUUCAAACUCAUCAAAAUCC
This 268-nucleotide long non-coding RNA is filed under the name Medicago truncatula (barrel medic). RNAcentral describes it as "long non-coding RNA (MTRU_LNC006503)". Lineage: Eukaryota; Viridiplantae; Streptophyta; Magnoliopsida; Fabales; Fabaceae. The record is from RNAcentral.